UUGGCUAUCAUUCACUAUCUAUUUCUAACUAUGAAUUGUAUGGUUUUCAUCUUUCCUAUUUUGUGGUGUUCUUUUCAGUUCCUAUUUUUGCAUACUUGUUGUUAUCGUUUGUGAUCUCUGUGAAAGGAAGUUUAUUUCUUCUUUUCCUCUGUCGAGCACUCCUCGUGCUCUGCGUCGAUCUAGGCACCUUUACUCUAUCAGUAAGCCUGCAUGAACCCGAAAGGAGAGCUGGUUAGUCAGGUUCAAUGUCUAACUCCAACAGGAAAAACUACAGAGAGAAGAAAAACUGAAAAAAAUGAGACACAACUUUGAAAGUGCCAAUAAAAAAAAUCUAUAGUCGUUUGUCUAUGCAGCACUAUAUUAAUAGCCCUACGCUCCGCAGCAACAGCUUUUACUUUCUCGGUUGACUUGCUUCAUUCUGAUACGGAUAUUAGUUGGAGAGUCUACAGGCGUGGAGAAUGGGAAGUGGUUUGGCCACAAGAAGAGGUCCCUUUAGGUUUGUUAGAGCAUAGUGGUGCCAAAAGUGCUUUUCGGGUUGUUUGUCUAUAUUUAAGGAAAUUUUUUUUCUAUCUGUUGAAUUAGGUGUUCUCGAAUAUCUUUACUUGUUCUUGAGUUAUGAAGUUGUCCUAUGUCGUAAUCCUUGUUUACUUUCACUUCUGGGCAUUUUAUGUAGCCUUGAUCUAACUGACCCGUUUAGUGCCAUGUUUUCAUGUUGUCGAAUAUUCUUAAUUCAUGUAUAGCCUUCUAGGUUAGUUAGUUAGUCAGCCUAGUCAGAACACAUGUUCCAAGUUCAGUUUGUAGUUGUUAAACUUAAUCCACUCAUGUUGCGUGCCAACAAGCCAAAAACCCUUAGGAGGUGUUUGGUUUGGCAAAUAAGAGUAUUAAAUGCCCAAAAACUAACAUUUUCUCAUGUUUGGUUUGGUGAAUACCAUUUCAAUAGGGCCUCCAUUAAUGAGUCCGGCCCGCCUCAUUUAUGCCCAUUUCAUUAGUUAGGGUAUCUCCUAAAUUUUGAAAGAAACGUUUUCUGCCUCGUAGUGUUAACUUCAUUGGAAAACUGAAAUGACCUAUUUGUCCUCAUCUUCUUCAAUCACGUAACAUUUCACCUCCCUUUCUGUACAUUUUUUUACCGCUGCCUGCUCUCGUCUUCUCUCCGCGGAAUCAUCAAUUAGCAUCGGCUUCUUCAGGGACUUCGAGUUAAAUACCCACGACGACCAAGGUAUAAAGUAGGAUCCUCAAAUGGCAAGCCGUUCGUUGAAAGGGGGCAACUUGCAACCAAGGGUGUAGAGACAGGCAAGAGAUGCAUGAAGGAUAUCACAAGUAUAUUUAGCCUGAUUCAAGAAAAUGCCAGAAGAAGUAUAAGUGACUUCAAGCCCAAAAAAUAACCAAGUUUUCCAAGGUCAGUGAUGGAAAAUUCUUGAUGAAGACGGGAGAUGAAAGAUUUCAAGUCAUCAUAAGAAUUUCAUGUCAGAAUUAUAUCAUCAACAUAGAAGCGCACUAUGGUCAAUAAGUGAAAUUCUGUAAAAAAUCAAAGUAAAUCUCAGCCUUUGGAUCCUUAGAUUAGAUGGUUGUGAUAAGUUACAUUAUUAGACUAAUAUGUUACAUUAUUAGCUAAGCUACAUUAUUAGACAAAAAUGCUAUAUUAUUUUACUAAAA
Salvia splendens (bonfire salvia) is the source of this 1653-nucleotide long non-coding RNA. RefSeq lists it as uncharacterized. The transcript is spliced from 2 exons. NCBI's taxonomy places the organism in Eukaryota, Viridiplantae, Streptophyta, Magnoliopsida, Lamiales, Lamiaceae. The record is from RefSeq and is a predicted model, not a curated record.